ACGGGAGGCAGCAGUGGGGAAUAUUGGGCAAUGGGCGCAAGCCUGACCCAGCAAUGCCGCGUGAAUGAAGAAGGCUUUCGGGUUGUAAACUUCUUUUAAGUGGGACGAUAAUGACGGUACCACUUGAAUAAGCUCCGGCUAACUACGUGCCAGCAGCCGCGGUAAUACGUAGGGAGCAAGCGUUAUCCGGAUUUACUGGGUGUAAAGGGCGUGUAGGCGGGAAAUCAAGUCAGAUGUGAAAGGACGGGGCUCAACUUCGUGACUGCAUUUGAAACUGACGUUCUUGAGUGUUGGAGAGGCUAACGGAACUCCUAGUGUAGCGGUGAAAUGCGUAGAUAUUAGGAAGAACACCAGUGGCGAAGGCGGUUAGCUGGACAAUAACUGACGCUGAGGCGCGAAAGCGUGGGUAGCAAACAGGAUUAGAUACCCUGGUA
This 434-nucleotide ribosomal RNA is filed under the name uncultured Oscillospiraceae bacterium. RNAcentral's name for it is "partial 16S ribosomal RNA". It matches the Rfam family "Bacterial small subunit ribosomal RNA", at positions 341 to 792 of the family's 1533-position model. The record is from RNAcentral. Lineage: Bacteria; Bacillati; Bacillota; Clostridia; Eubacteriales; Oscillospiraceae.